Molecule: ribosomal RNA, 371 nt
Filed under: uncultured bacterium
Lineage: Bacteria
Description: bacterial SSU rRNA
Rfam family: Bacterial small subunit ribosomal RNA
Source: RNAcentral
UAUUGGACAAUGGGCGAAAGCCUGAUCCAGCCAUGCCGCGUGUGUGAAGAAGGUCUUCGGAUUGUAAAGCACUUUAAGUUGGGAGGAAGGGCAUUAACCUAAUACGUUAGUGUUUUGACGUUACCGACAGAAUAAGCACCGGCUAACUCUGUGCCAGCAGCCGCGGUAAUACAGAGGGUGCAAGCGUUAAUCGGAAUUACUGGGCGAAAGCGCGCGUAGGUGGUUUGUUAAGUUGGAUGUAAAUCCCCGGGCUCAACCUGGAACUGCAUUCAAAACUACUACAGAGAUAAAGGGUGGUGAAUUUCCUGUGAGCGGUAAAUGCGAGUUAGAAGAACACCAGUGGAAGCGCACCUGGCAAACUGACUGGUGAA